GCGCGCGUGGCGGAACUGGUAGACGCGCUGGAUUUAGGUUCCAGUGCCUUUGGGCGUGAGGGUUCGAGUCCCUCCGUGCGCA
RNAcentral lists this transfer RNA (82 nucleotides) under Actinotignum schaalii. RNAcentral's name for it is "tRNA-Leu". It matches the Rfam family "tRNA". From Rfam's summary of the family: Transfer RNA (tRNA) molecules are approximately 80 nucleotides in length. Their secondary structure includes four short double-helical elements and three loops (D, anti-codon, and T loops). Further hydrogen bonds mediate the characteristic L-shaped molecular structure. tRNAs have two regions of fundamental functional importance: the anti-codon, which is responsible for specific mRNA codon recognition, and the 3' end, to which the tRNAs corresponding amino acid is attached (by aminoacyl-tRNA synthetases). tRNAs cope with the degeneracy of the genetic code in two manners: having more than one tRNA (with a specific anti-codon) for a particular amino acid; and 'wobble' base-pairing, i.e. permitting non-standard base-pairing at the 3rd anti-codon position. The record is from RNAcentral. RNAcentral also lists the same sequence under 7 other names. Lineage: Bacteria; Bacillati; Actinomycetota; Actinomycetes; Actinomycetales; Actinomycetaceae.